This 377-nucleotide ribosomal RNA is filed under the name uncultured cyanobacterium. Its description in RNAcentral is "bacterial SSU rRNA". It matches the Rfam family "Bacterial small subunit ribosomal RNA", at positions 376 to 770 of the family's 1533-position model. Lineage: Bacteria; Bacillati; Cyanobacteriota. The record is from RNAcentral.
CGCAAGCCUGACGGAGCAAGACCGCGUGCGGGAUGACGGCCUAAUGGUUGUAAACCGCUUUUCUCUGGGAAGAUGAUGACGGUACCAGAGGAAUCAGCCUCGGCUAACUCCGUGCCAGCAGCCGCGGUAAUACGGAGGAGGCAAGCGUUAUCCGGAAUUAUUGGGCGUAAAGCGUCCGUAGGUGGUUAUUCAAGUCUGCUGUCAAAGCGUGUGGCUUAACUCCAUAGAGGCAGUGGAAACUGGAUGACUUGAGUGCGGUAGGGGUCGAGGGAAUUCCCAGUGUAGCGGUGAAAUGCGUAGAUAUUGGGAAGAACACCAGUGGCGAAAGCGCUCGACUGGGCCUGCACUGACACUGAGGGACGAAAGCUAGGGGAGCG